UCGCUCAUCGGAUAAAUGCUACCCCGGGGAUAACUGGCUUAUCUCCCCCUAGAGUCCACAUCGACGGGGAGGUUUGGCUCCUCGAUGUCGGCUCGUCGCUUCCUGGGGCUGUUGUCGGUCCCAUGGGUUGGGCUGUUCGCCCAUUAAUGCGGCUCGCGAGCUGGGUUCUGAACGUCGUGAGACAGUUCGGUCCCUAUCCGUCGCGGGCGCUGGAAAUUUGAGAGGAGCUG
This 230-nucleotide ribosomal RNA is filed under the name Listeria monocytogenes. RNAcentral describes it as "partial 23S ribosomal RNA". It matches the Rfam family "Bacterial large subunit ribosomal RNA", at positions 2445 to 2674 of the family's 2925-position model. Lineage: Bacteria; Bacillati; Bacillota; Bacilli; Caryophanales; Listeriaceae. The record is from RNAcentral.